GCCGGAUUUGGGAAACUCAAUGAUUUUUUCAUGUCAUUUAUGCAUUAAUCUAGAUGUGAAUGUUAGUAGUUUGACUGUUGUUUAACUACUUUAUAAUGAUUAGACUGUAGCAUGGAAAGCUACAGAUUCAAAGUAGCAUCCCCUGCAGAUUUUAUUUUCAUCACUUAUCCAAAUACUUCAGAUAAUCCUAUAAGUCUUCAAGUCCUCACUAUAAAACUCGCCUUCUUUCUUUCUUUCUUUCUUUCUUUCUUUCUUUCAGAAGUUUGAGUCUCACGAGAUCAUCUCCAGGUACUGAUCUAGGAACAGGAAGAGCAAAGCAGAUCACCUUGUGUGAGCCAAAAUAAGAUGAUUACUUUGAAAAAAAUCCCAAGUGACCGACCUAAUCAGUUUUUCCCCCUUUGAAGCAUAUGUUCAAAAAUUAAAUAUUAAUCCAGUAUAGCUUAAACAUGUUUUUAGGUCGUCUGCAGCACAUUUGAUCUGAUAUGUUGCCAAAAACCUGCAUACAUCCAUAUCAGCUCAUGUACAGGAGCUAAAACUUGCAGCUUUACACAUGAAUAAUUCACCUCCUUUGAGAAAGAGUUUACUUCACACCGUUAUUAAAUUAUAUAAAGCACUGAUGCAGAAUAGCUGUGAUUUGCACCCACUGAUCACAUAAUCCAUCUAUAACAGCAAUUCUUGGACAUCCAAAAAUACUCAUGCUUUCAGCUAUUUUAUAAAGCAAUCAAUAAUGGCUGAUUGCAUGCUUGUAGUCUACUGUUUAAGCCUGGAUCGUUAGAUCUUGUCCUUUAGCUAUUCAAGAGAUUGUUAAUUUCUUUCUCUCCUCCAUUAUAGACUUUGUGACCUUCAGUCUUUUUUGCCCUGCAGUGAAUCAUCUGCUUUUGACCAGAGUCAAAGUUCCUUUUUCCUCUUCACUGUCUGAGGGUGAUAAGAAGAAUUAAAGCAGUGGACAGGGUCAGGAUUUGAUAGCACUACAGCCCUGCAGGGAAAUAAUGUGCACACAUGGACAAACAUCGAGGUGGGAGACUAUGGUCGUAUCUCUUUCUAACUGUGGCAGCAACUCUUGAUGGCCUGGACACAACGAGAAAAGCCACACUAGUGCACUCGGCUCUGACUCUGUGUAUCCCAACAUGCCGAAGGUGCAAUCCCCCAAUGAGUGACAUCAUUAAUUAUGUGCCUCUGACUUCAGAAAUGCCAGCUGAGGAGGGAGGCAUACAUUUCAUCCGCAGACUGUUCAAAAAAAUUGUCUUUCAAGCCGGGCUGACAGCAUGCAUUCCAAUCACGAGCUCACCCAGGUCUGAAAUUGCGGAUAGUUCACCAGCUGUGAGGCGCUGGGAUCUCACUGCACAGUGGAUGAUUGUGAUGGCACAUCCAGAACAUUCCAUCUGUGGUCGAGCUUUAUUUGAGAUAGACAGUCUCAUGUGGACACAAUCACACCUCUAACGGUGAGUCCCAUCAUCAAUUAGUAUUACUCUCCUCUGACAACACACUUCAUCAAGUGGUCUUGUCUCAUCAGAC
Molecule: long non-coding RNA, 1515 nt
Organism: Cyprinus carpio (common carp)
Lineage: Eukaryota; Metazoa; Chordata; Actinopteri; Cypriniformes; Cyprinidae
Source: Ensembl